UACGUAGGGUGCAAGCGUUGUCCGGAAUUAUUGGGCGUAAAGAGCUCGUAGGCGGCUUGUCGCGUCGAAUGUGAAAACUCGGGGCUCAACCCCGAGCUUGCAUUCGAUACGGGCAGGCUAGAGUUCGGUAGGGGAGACUGGAAUUCCUGGUGUAGCGGUGAAAUGCGCAGAUAUCAGGAGGAACACCGGUGGCGAAGGCGGGUCUCUGGGCCGAUACUGACGCUGAGGAGCGAAAGCGUGGGGAGCGAACAGG
Molecule: ribosomal RNA, 253 nt
Filed under: uncultured bacterium
Lineage: Bacteria
Description: partial 16S ribosomal RNA
Rfam family: Bacterial small subunit ribosomal RNA
Source: RNAcentral